UACGUAGGUGGCAAGCGUUGUCCGGAAUUAUUGGGCGUAAAGAGCGCGCAGGCGGUCGUUCAAGUCGAGUGUGAAAGCCCCCGGCCCAACUGGGGAGGGUCACUCGAUACUGAUCGACUCGAAGGCAGGAGAGGGAAGUGGAAUUCCCGGUGUAGUGGUGAAGUGCGUAGAUAUCGGGAGGAACACCAGUGGCGAAGGCGACUUCCUGGCCUGUUCUUGACGCUGAGGCGCGAAAGCUAGGGGUGCAAACGGG
RNAcentral lists this unclassified non-coding RNA (253 nucleotides) under uncultured Chloroflexota bacterium. RNAcentral describes it as "uncultured Chloroflexi bacterium contains 16S-23S intergenic spacer region". It matches the Rfam family "Bacterial small subunit ribosomal RNA", at positions 524 to 776 of the family's 1533-position model. The record is from RNAcentral. Lineage: Bacteria; Bacillati; Chloroflexota.